Molecule: long non-coding RNA, 3089 nt
Filed under: Sorghum bicolor (sorghum)
Lineage: Eukaryota; Viridiplantae; Streptophyta; Magnoliopsida; Poales; Poaceae
Description: long non-coding RNA (SBIC_LNC000595)
Source: RNAcentral
UAAUUACUAGUAAAUAUGCCCGUGCGUUGCCACGGGUUUUUUCCGAUUAUUUGUUGUGUAAACAUUAUAUGAACUUGAUAUUAAGCUGAUGACACAUGAACUUCAAAUAUUUCUAAUACAUUUAAUGAUGUCUAGGACUCCAGACCAUUAAUGAUGGCCUCUUGUAAUUGUGGACGCUCCCCGUCGUCAUCACCAUUUCUCAUUUUAGAUGUCCCUUCUUUUGAUGAAACAACAACAUUUCCUAUUUUUCUUGUGAAUUCAUCGUUGCGGCGGUGUAGCAAUGUUUGUCUUUCUCCGGGCGUCACAUACUUCCUUUGAUUUAAAUGAAAGGUUGAUGUUCUAACUUCCAGGUCUGGUUCUGUAUAUGCAGGGUUCUCCAAGGCGAUUGAAUAUUUGGUUUGUGCUCUACGCUUCAACUCUUUGUUUUCUGUAAUUUUCUGAAUUUUAACUUCCUUUUAUUCUGGUUGCAUAUUUGCAUACUCUUAACGGUUCCUUUUGACUCUUUUCUUCUUUUCUUUGCUCAUAUGUGCAUAUCGCGCUCUAUCUCUUUUUCUUUUCUUUUCCUUGGCAUCCAUUAUUGUAUCUUCUGACCCUAAUGGAUUGUUUUCAUCAUUGUUUUUUGAUUUGUUUGGAUCUAUAGAGCAAAAGAAUGUAUAGUAAGUAUAGUGUGAUAUUUUGUAUUAAUGUAAUAGAGAAAAUAAAAAAAUUAAUUAAUUUUACCUAGAGGCAAUUCUUUUUUUAUGUUUUCAAGUUCCUCUAUGCCAUCUCCAGCAUGUACAUAUUGAUGAGCAUCAAUCCUGGCAUCUUCAUGAUGUACAAUAUCACCUUCUGUUUGCCGGGGUAGCUCAGUGAUGGUAGGCUUCAUGAAGCCUUUUAAGCUUUUCCUGCUUUUUUCAUUUGUCAUCUUAGCAUACCAUUCUUCACGGUUCCUUUUGACUAUUUCCUUCUUUUUUCAUUGCUCAUAUGUGAAUAUCGCUCUCUAUCACUUUUCCAUUUCUUUUCCUUGGCAUCCAUUACUGUAUGUUCUGACUCUAACAUAUUGUUUCCAUCAUUGUUUUUUGAUUUGUUUGGAUCUAUAGAACAAAAGAAUGUACAGUAAGUAUAGUGUGAUAUUUUGCAUUAAUGUAAUAGAGAAAAUAAAAAACAAUAUUUAAUUAAUUUUACUUAGAGGCAAUUCUUUUUUAUGUUUUUGAUAUUUUCCAUGAAUGCAAUAGAGAAAAAAUUAAACCAAUGUAUUGAAGUAAAUUUACCUCAAUGCAAUUCUGAAUACAAUAGAGAAAACAUUAAAGCAAUAUAUUGAAGUAAAUUUACCUCGAUGCAAUUCUAUUUUUAGGUUUUCAGUUGACUCUAUGCCACCUUGAGGAUGGAUAUCUUGACGUUCAGUGUGUACGUCUUGACAGACAUCAAUGUAUAGAGAUCUAGGUGCAUGCUGGGGACGAGGCGACAUCACUAGUAUAGGGAAGGGCUUUAGCCCCGGGCCGUAAGCGCCUUUAGUCACGGCUACGGAACCGGGGCUAAGGUUUCGGGACUAAAUGUCCCACCUUUAGUCUCGGUUCCGUGGACCGGGACUAAAGGUCCACCGGGACUAAAGGUCCACCUUUAGUCCCGGUUGGUAACAACAACUGAGACUAAAAGGUGCGCCAGGGUGUGCCACCUGGCCUCCACUUUUAGUCCCGGUUGUUGCUACCAACCGGGACUAAAGACUUUUUUCUUUUUUUUUUCUUUUCAUUUAGUUUUCCAUUUAGGGUUUACAAUUAUGUUAUUGUUAUUUUUGAAUGCGUAUUGUUUGCUGGUAGUUUAUGGAACGUGCACCUAUAAUUUAUAUAAUUUAAAGGAUUACAUAUAAAUAUACUAUAAAACACUAUAUAUAUAUAUAAUAUGUAUCUAUAGGUCCAUAAUAUAAUAUUUACACAUAUGCUUCACGGACAAAGUAUUUACAACACAAUUUAUCUCCGCCACUCAAGCAUCGUACAAAUGAUCAUCGUUAUUUGGUUUCAUCUGCUCCUGAGGGUUGAAGUAGCACUCGCCGUCGGGAUCCAGGACUUGGUCGUUAAGAAAUCCUACGAUUGUCUCCUGAAUUCCUUUUAGGCGCACCGCAUCCAACACCUGCUCCUUCAGCCACAUCUCCUUUGAUAGACAUUAAAGAAAAAAGUUAGAGGUAUGAAUAGGAUUUAUUAAAUAGCAACAAAUAAAUGAAAUAAACUUAUUAUAUAUACAUGUUACAUAUUUUUAGGUACUCAAGAUUAGUUCUUUUGGCAUACAGCAUCAUAAACUCGCACACAUAGUAGCCACACAAAUUGUUGUCCGGUGUCUGCCAUAGAACCCAUGAAGUAAGAUGGGCUUUGAAAGUGCUGCAUUCAACUCUGGACGAUGUUUCUGCACGAACCCAGCCCAAACCCUAGCAAUAAAAUGAUCAUUAUUAAUUAUCCAUUACCAAGUUAAAAGAGCAGAAUUUAGUAUAUAGAGAUCGGAGUUACCCUUGGAUAAUAUCUAUCAUUUCUUGAUAAUCGUCCCGUGGUUUUCUCAAUGAGUCAUAGAUUACCAAUUGACAUUGCCAGAGAUCAAUGACAAUUAGUAUCCAAUGAAAGUUACAUUUGUGUGCAUAUGUUGGCAAAAUUAGUAUAUAUCUUCAUAUUGAUCUGAUUAAUUAGUUAAAUAGAAUGUACACACGAUAACGACACUUACUUAAAGUUGUAGGGAAAGAGUAUAUAUCUUUUAUCUUUUUGGUUGAUCAAGAACCUCCGUAGAUUUCUCUCCGUUUGAGUUCUCCAUAAGACAUACGGGGUCUUAUGGUCUUUGAAUACAACAUUUGGAUCCACAAAUCCAAUCUCCUUGUCAUUUCUAACUCUGUGGUCCCUCAUCAUGUUUCUGCAUAUGUAUAGCAGGUUUCUGUAAUUAGUUAUAUAUAUACAUGAUAAGUUAUAGAGACAUUAUUGAAAGGAAGAAUCACUUACAGACAGAAGCAACUCAUUAGAGAUUUGUCAAGAGCGUCCAUGUGGCAUAGUUGGUGUAGCUCAUGAAAUUGAACAUAAAUAAUAUCAUCACCACGGCAGUAAUGAUAGUUUCUAAUUCGGACAUAAAUACAGUCA